This 881-nucleotide ribosomal RNA is filed under the name uncultured bacterium. RNAcentral's name for it is "bacterial SSU rRNA". It matches the Rfam family "Bacterial small subunit ribosomal RNA", at positions 614 to 1504 of the family's 1533-position model. The record is from RNAcentral.
UAAAAAUUGCCGUUGAAAACUGUUAUUCUUGAGAGUAGAUAAGGUAGGCGGGAAUGUGUUGUGUAGCGGUGAAAUGCAUAGAUAUAACACAGAACCCCGAUUGCGAAGGCAGCUUACCGGGCUACAUCUGACGCUGAUGCACGAAAGCGUGGGGAUCAAACAGGAUUAGAUACCCUGGUAGUCCACGCAGUAAACGAUGAAUACUAGCUGUAUGCGAUAUAUUGUAUGUGGCAAAGCGAAAGCAUUAAGUAUUCCACCUGGGGAGUACGUUCGCAAGAAUGAAACUCAAAGGAAUUGACGGGGGCCCGCACAAGCGGAGGAACAUGUGGUUUAAUUCGAUGAUACGCGAGGAACCUUACCCGGGCUUGAAAUGCAAUCGACGGUAUUGGAAACAUUACUUCCAGCAAUGGCGAUUGUGUAGGUGCUGCAUGGUUGUCGUCAGCUCGUGCCGUGAGGUGUCGGCUUAAGUGCCAUAACGAGCGCAACCCUUAUCAUUAGUUGCCAUCGGGUUAUGCCGGGAACUCUAAUGAGACUGCCACCGUAAGGUGUGAGGAAGGUGGGGAUGACGUCAAAUCAGCACGGCCCUUACGUCCGGGGCGACACACGUGUUACAAUGGGGGGUACAGCGGGCAGCUACCUGGCGACAGGAUGCUAAUCUCUGAAAGCCUCUCUCAGUUCGGAUCGGAGUCUGCAACUCGACUCCGUGAAGCUGGAUUCGCUAGUAAUCGCGCAUCAGCCAUGGCGCGGUGAAUACGUUCCCGGGCCUUGUACACACCGCCCGUCAAGCCAUGGAAGCCGGGGGGACCUGAAGUACGUAACCGUAAAGGAGCGUCCUAGGGUAAAACCGGUAACUGGGGCUAAGUCGUAACAAGGUAACCGUA